UCCCCACUCUCCUAUUGUGUUCACAAGAAUUCUUUUUUUUUUUUUAAAGCCACAAGGCAUGUGGGAUCUUAGUUCUUCAACCAAGGGAUCGAACCUUCCUCCCCUACAUUGGAAGCAUGGAGUCUUAACCAUUGGACCACCAGGAAAGUCCCAAUAUGAACUUCUAAAUUACCAUGGAAAGGUUCCUGCAGAAGCCUGCUGUGCAUCGGGAGGCUCGGCUGUUUCCUGCGACCCCUCCGUCAGAUGCAUCACUCCUCUCCGGGGGCUGGAGUCACUGCAAAGAGUCAGCAGUCUGAGCUCAGACACUUGAUCUGGAGCCCAGCUGUCAGCCCUGUCCUCGUCGCUGUCCCUGGCUCUGUCCUCUGGGAAACUUUUUGAGCUGAUCGAACUGCAGCAUCUGGAAAACUCCACAGCAAUGUUAAGUCCUGUAUACAUCUUCCAAGAGUUCUUUUUUUUUUUUCUCUUGGAUUUUUUUUUUUUUUUUAAUGGAAGAGAGUCACACACCAACAGUGGUUUCUGAAGCCCCUUCUCUAGUCCAGAGUCCAGGUCAUGGAUGCGCUGGGCAACCCUGAUGGACACUUUGGUCUCUCCAGGCCUCUUUUUCCUCAUCUGUAAAAUUGAGAAAAUAACCCCUCUGAAGGGUGACCUUCACUGUGGUCAAGGUCAGUAUGGGUCUAGGAGAGGGGAGAAAGUGAAAGUGAAGUCGCUCAGUGGUGUCCGACUCUUUGCGACCCCAUGGACUGUAGCCUACCAGGCUCCUCUGUCCAUGGGAUUUUCCAGGCAAUAGUACUGGAGUGGAUUGCCAUUUCCUUUUCCAGGGGAUCUUCCCAACCCAGGGAUCAAACCCGGGUCUCCCGCAUUAUAGACAGACGCUUAACCGUCUGAGCCACACUGAUAUCUCACAGUCUAUCCGCUGGUCCAGCCACACAGUUGCUAGCCAGGGGUCCCAGUCAGUGAGGAAGAAUGGAGAUAAUUGGGCAGGUAGGGUUCUUGGAAGCUCCGAAUUUGCUUUAUGGUUUGUGAUGUUCUUGCAUGAUUUGCAUUGGGCCAGGCCUGGUAAGGCUGGAUGGAGGGAAUAAAAAUAAUCAACAUCGCA
Molecule: long non-coding RNA, 1096 nt
Filed under: Bos indicus x Bos taurus (hybrid cattle)
Lineage: Eukaryota; Metazoa; Chordata; Mammalia; Artiodactyla; Bovidae
Description: lncRNA (ENSBIXG00005023026.1)
Source: RNAcentral